CUAACACAUGCAAGUCGAGCGAUUUGCUUCGGUAAAGAGCGGCGGACGGGUGAGUAACGCGUGGGUAACCUGCCCUGUACACACGGAUAACAUACCGAAAGGUAUGCUAAUACGAGAUAAUAUACUUUUAUCGCAUGGUAGAAGUAUCAAAGCUCCGGCGGUACAGGAUGGACCCGCGUCUGAUUAGCUAGUUGGUAAGGUAACGGCUUACCAAGGCGACGAUCAGUAGCCGACCUGAGAGGGUGAUCGGCCACAUUGGAACUGAGACACGGUCCAAACUCCUACGGGAGGCAGCAGUGGGGAAUAUUGCACAAUGGGCGAAAGCCUGAUGCAGCAACGCCGCGUGAGCGAUGAAGGCCUUCGGGUCGUAAAGCCCUGUCCUCAAGGAAGAUAAUGACGGUACUUGAGGAGGAAGCCCCGGCUAACUACGUGCCAGCAGCCGCGGUAAUACGUAGGGGGCUAGCGUUAUCCGGAAUUACUGGGCGUAAAGGGUGCGUAGGUGGUUUCUUAAGUCAGAGGUGAAAGGCUACGGCUCAACCGUAGUAAGCCUUUGAAACUGGGAAACUUGAGUGCAGGAGAGGAGAGUGGAAUUCCUAGUGUAGCGGUGAAAUGCGUAGAUAUUAGGAGGAACACCAGUUGCGAA
RNAcentral lists this ribosomal RNA (643 nucleotides) under uncultured Clostridium sp. Its description in RNAcentral is "bacterial SSU rRNA". It matches the Rfam family "Bacterial small subunit ribosomal RNA", at positions 48 to 719 of the family's 1533-position model. Lineage: Bacteria; Bacillati; Bacillota; Clostridia; Eubacteriales; Clostridiaceae. The record is from RNAcentral.